GAAAUAAAGGGUGCGCGUAAAGUGUUAAAAUAAAACCAUAUAAAAGACAAAUGUCAAUAAUUAAAUUCUAUCUUUGUAUAAUAUGGCAUUCGCCCGUUCUAUACAAAAAAAAAAAAAAAACCAGGUUAUCAAGAGUUUUUAUCGAAUUUAUCGGGUGUUCCACUUGUUUAGAACAGAAAGCUCUCUUUAACUCAGUCCACAACUAGAAAACGUGCUAC
Molecule: non-coding RNA, 218 nt
Organism: Cinara cedri
Lineage: Eukaryota; Metazoa; Arthropoda; Insecta; Hemiptera; Aphididae
Source: the annotation of a GenBank genome assembly